RNAcentral lists this ribosomal RNA (497 nucleotides) under uncultured bacterium. RNAcentral's name for it is "partial 16S ribosomal RNA". It matches the Rfam family "Bacterial small subunit ribosomal RNA", at positions 28 to 507 of the family's 1533-position model. The record is from RNAcentral.
GAUGAACGCUGGCGGCGUGCCUAAUACAUGCAAGUCGAGCGAACAGAUAAGGAGCUUGCUCCUUUGACGUUAGCGGCGGACGGGUGAGUAACACGUGGGUAACCUACCUAUAAGACUGGGAUAACUUCGGGAAACCGGAGCUAAUACCGGAUAACAUUUGGAACCGCAUGGUUCUAAAGUGAAAGAUGGUUUUGCUAUCACUUAUAGAUGGACCCGCGCCGUAUUAGCUAGUUGGUAAGGUAACGGCUUACCAAGGCAACGAUACGUAGCCGACCUGAGAGGGUGAUCGGCCACACUGGAACUGAGACACGGUCCAGACUCCUACGGGAGGCAGCAGUAGGGAAUCUUCCGCAAAGGGCGAAAGCCUGACGGAGCAACGCCGCGUGAGUGAUGAAGGGUUUCGGCUCGUAAAACUCUGUUAUUAGGGAAGAACAAAUGUGUAAGUAACUGUGCACGUCUUGACGGUACCUAAUCAGAAAGCCACGGCUAACUACGUG